Molecule: long non-coding RNA, 359 nt
Filed under: Nicotiana benthamiana
Lineage: Eukaryota; Viridiplantae; Streptophyta; Magnoliopsida; Solanales; Solanaceae
Description: long non-coding RNA (NBEN_LNC005689)
Source: RNAcentral
CUUCUUAGCGCAUCCGUUUUCUUGCUCGUUAGCGCUUGACUAAUAAGAUAGAAAGAGCCUUUCUUGCUUGUUUAGUAAAGUCUCGCUUUUUGAUAGGAGUAGGUGCUUGCUAGGGCAGGGCACUUUUCAUUCUUCAUUCGAAACUAACAAGUGUCGGGUCGGGGAUUUCUGCCUUGUUAUCAAAAAGGGAGUUGGGUAAAGCAAACUCUCUCCUUGGAGGAGCACGGGCUUAGUCAAGUAGAACCGGGUUGCGCUGCUUGAUGCUCCGAUCGAAAACAAAUCAGUGGGGCCAUGCCGGUACGACUGAAUAUGCGUUAGAAAGGUCAAUCCCUCCCCUACGACACCAAAAAAACCGGGCU